Molecule: ribosomal RNA, 1321 nt
Filed under: Enterobacteriaceae bacterium enrichment culture clone PTmrs11
Lineage: Bacteria; Pseudomonadati; Pseudomonadota; Gammaproteobacteria; Enterobacterales; Enterobacteriaceae
Description: partial 16S ribosomal RNA
Rfam family: Bacterial small subunit ribosomal RNA
Source: RNAcentral
AUGCAGUCGAACGGUCUCACCGAUGCUUCUUGCUGCUUCGCUGACGAGGGGCGGAAGGUUGAGUAAUGUCUGGGAAACUGCCUGAGGGAGGGGGAUGACUACUGUGAACGGAAGCUAAUACCGCCUACUGUCACCAGAUGCUAGAGGGGGACCUUCGGGCCUCUUGCCAUCGGAUGUGCCCAGAUGGGAUUAGCUAGUAGGUCUGGUAACGGCUCACCUAGGCGACGAUCCCUAGCUGGUCUGAGAGGAUGACCAGCCACACUGGAACUGAGACCCGAUCCAGACUCCUACCGGAGGCAGACUGGGGGAAUAUUGCAACUUGGGCGCAAGCCUGAUGCAGCCAUGCCGCGUGUAUGAGACAAGGCCUUCAGGUUGUAAAGCACUGUCAGCGAAGAGGAAGGCCAACGUCGAUAAGAGUAAUCAGCUUAGUCGAGUGACGAUACCCGCAAAAAAAGCACCGGCCUAACUCCGUGCCAGCAGCCGCGGUAAUACGGAGGGUGCAAGCGUAUAAUCGGAAUUACUGGGCGUAAAGCGACACGCAGGCGGUCUGUCAAGUCUGGAUGUGAAAUCCUCUCGGGCUCAACCGUGGGAACUGCAUUCGAAACUGGCUUAGAGCUAGAGUCUUGAUAGAGGACAGGUAGAAUUCCAGAGUGUAGAGGUGGAAAUGCGUACAGAUCUGGAGGAAUACCGGUGGCGAAAUGCGGCCCCCUGGACAAAGACUGACGCUCACGUGCGAAAGCGUGGGGAGCAAACAGGAUUAUGAUACCUCUGGUAGUCCACGCCGUAAACGAUGUCAACUAGGAGGUUGUGCCCUUGAGGCACGAUGGACUACGGAGCUAACGCCAUAAGUCGACGCCCCUGGGGAGCUACAGCCGCAACGUUAAAACACACAAAAAAUUGACGGACGGACCCCCACAAGUCGAGGGUAGCAUGGAGUUGUAAUGUCGAUGCGAACGAGAAGAACCAUUACCUACUUUUGACAUCCAUAGAACUUUCCAGAGAUGUAUUGGUUCCUUUGGGAACUAUGAGACAGGUGCUGCAAGGCUGUUGUCAGCUUGUGUUGUGAAAUUUUGGGUUAAGUCCCGCAACGAGCCCAACCCUUAUCUUUUGUUGCCAGCGGUUAGGCCGGGCACUCAAAGGAGACUGCCAGUGACAAACCGGAGGAAGGUGGGGAUGACGUCAAGUCAUCAUGGCCCUUACGACUAGGGCUACACACGUGCUACAAUGGCGCAUACAAAGAGAAGCGACCUCGCGAGAGCAAGCUGAUCUCAUAAACCCGUCGUAGUCCGGAUUGGAGUCUGCAACUCGACUCCAAUGAAGU